AAAUUGAAGAGUUUGAUCAUGGCUCAGAUUGAACGCUGGCGGCAGGCCUAACACAUGCAAGUCGAGCGGUAGCACAGAGAGCUUGCUCUCGGGUGACGAGCGGCGGACGGGUGAGUAAUGUCUGGGAAACUGCCUGAUGGAGGGGGAUAACUACUGGAAACGGUAGCUAAUACCGCAUAACGUCGCAAGACCAAAGUGGGGGACCUUCGGGCCUCAUGCCAUCAGAUGUGCCCAGAUGGGAUUAGCUAGUAGGUGGGGUAAUGGCUCACCUAGGCGACGAUCCCUAGCUGGUCUGAGAGGAUGACCAGCCACACUGGAACUGAGACACGGUCCAGACUCCUACGGGAGGCAGCAGUGGGGAAUAUUGCACAAUGGGCGCAAGCCUGAUGCAGCCAUGCCGCGUGUAUGAAGAAGGCCUUCGGGUUGUAAAGUACUUUCAGCGAGGAGGAAGGCGUUAAGGUUAAUAACCUUAGCGAUUGACGUUACUCGCAGAAGAAGCACCGGCUAACUCCGUGCCAGCAGCCGCGGUAAUACGGAGGGUGCAAGCGUUAAUCGGAAUUACUGGGCGUAAAGCGCACGCAGGCGGUUUGUUAAGUCAGAUGUGAAAUCCCCGGGCUCAACCUGGGAACUGCAUUUGAAACUGGCAAGCUUGAGUCUUGUAGAGGGGGGUAGAAUUCCAGGUGUAGCGGUGAAAUGCGUAGAGAUCUGGAGGAAUACCGGUGGCGAAGGCGGCCCCCUGGACAAAGACUGACGCUCAGGUGCGAAAGCGUGGGGAGCAAACAGGAUUAGAUACCCUGGUAGUCCACGCUGUAAACGAUGUCGACUUGGAGGUUGUUCCCUUGAGGAGUGGCUUCCGGAGCUAACGCGUUAAGUCGACCGCCUGGGGAGUACGGCCGCAAGGUUAAAACUCAAAUGAAUUGACGGGGGCCCGCACAAGCGGUGGAGCAUGUGGUUUAAUUCGAUGCAACGCGAAGAACCUUACCUACUCUUGACAUCCAGAGAACUUAGCAGAGAUGCUUUGGUGCCUUCGGGAACUCUGAGACAGGUGCUGCAUGGCUGUCGUCAGCUCGUGUUGUGAAAUGUUGGGUUAAGUCCCGCAACGAGCGCAACCCUUAUCCUUUGUUGCCAGCGGUCCGGCCGGGAACUCAAAGGAGACUGCCAGUGAUAAACUGGAGGAAGGUGGGGAUGACGUCAAGUCAUCAUGGCCCUUACGAGUAGGGCUACACACGUGCUACAAUGGCAUAUACAAAGAGAAGCGACCUCGCGAGAGCAAGCGGACCUCAUAAAGUAUGUCGUAGUCCGGAUUGGAGUCUGCAACUCGACUCCAUGAAGUCGGAAUCGCUAGUAAUCGUAGAUCAGAAUGCUACGGUGAAUACGUUCCCGGGCCUUGUACACACCGCCCGUCACACCAUGGGAGUGGGUUGCAAAAGAAGUAGGUAGCUUAACCUUCGGGAGGGCGCUUACCACUUUGUGAUUCAUGACUGGGGUGAAGUCGUAACAAGGUAACCGUAGGGGAACCUGCGGUUGGAUCACCUCCUUACCUGAAAGAA
RNAcentral lists this ribosomal RNA (1550 nucleotides) under Klebsiella planticola. RNAcentral's name for it is "bacterial SSU rRNA". It matches the Rfam family "Bacterial small subunit ribosomal RNA". Lineage: Bacteria; Pseudomonadati; Pseudomonadota; Gammaproteobacteria; Enterobacterales; Enterobacteriaceae. The record is from RNAcentral.